UACGAAGGGGGCGAGCGUUGUUCGGAUUUACUGGGCGUAAAGGGCGCGCAGGCGGCUCAUUUUGUCAGGCGUGAAAGCCCCGGGCUUAACCUGGGAACUGCGUUUGAUACGGAUGGGCUAGAGUUCGGGAGAGGAGAGUGGAAUUCCCAGUGUAGAGGUGAAAUUCGUAGAUAUUCGGAAGAACACCAGUGGCGAAGGCGGCUCACUGGCCCGGUACUGACGCUGAGAUACGAAAGCGUGGGGAGCAAACAGG
RNAcentral lists this ribosomal RNA (253 nucleotides) under uncultured bacterium. Its description in RNAcentral is "partial 16S ribosomal RNA". It matches the Rfam family "Bacterial small subunit ribosomal RNA", at positions 524 to 776 of the family's 1533-position model. The record is from RNAcentral.